This 65-nucleotide transfer RNA is filed under the name Grylloblatta sp. 38 SS-2018. RNAcentral's name for it is "tRNA-Leu". Lineage: Eukaryota; Metazoa; Arthropoda; Insecta; Grylloblattodea; Grylloblattidae. The record is from RNAcentral.
UCUAAUGUGGCAGACAAGUGCAAUGAACUUAAGCUUCAUGUAUAAAGAAAAGCCUUUCAUUAGAA